GUAUUUUGAAUUAUUUUAUUCAUAAUAUUUUUCAGACAAAGAGUUAAAGAAUAAGUUGAUGUUUGGUCAUUCUCAAAAAAGAGAACAACUGACAUUGCACACAAGGUGGAUAUGGAUUUAAAAAGUGCCAUAAAACACUUAUUAUGAAUGAUCCUUCCGCAGGUUCACCUACGGAAA
This 177-nucleotide unclassified non-coding RNA is filed under the name uncultured fungus. RNAcentral describes it as "sequence contains ITS1". Lineage: Eukaryota; Fungi. The record is from RNAcentral.